AAGAGACGUUGCCCUUCGGGUAUACCUCCCACCCUUUGUUUAUUAUACCUUUGUUGCUUUGGCGGGCCCGUCCUCGGACCACCGGCUUCUGCUGGUCAGUGCCCGUCCAGAGGACCUAAAACUCUGUUUGUUAAUAUUGUCUGAGUACUAUAUAAUAGUUA
RNAcentral lists this unclassified non-coding RNA (161 nucleotides) under soil metagenome. Its description in RNAcentral is "partial internal transcribed spacer 1". The record is from RNAcentral.